Non-coding RNA from Zootermopsis nevadensis, 284 nucleotides. The record is from RefSeq and is a predicted model, not a curated record. Lineage: Eukaryota; Metazoa; Arthropoda; Insecta; Blattodea; Termopsidae.
CAUCAAGGCUGACAACAUGAUUUUAAAGCAGCAGAUCGAGACCCUUCGUGGCUGCCAUGAUCACGGACUAGAAGACGUGAAGAAUAGUGGCAAGCCUGACGGCCUGAACGCCGAGAAAGACCAAGGCGUGGAGGACUGGGACGCUGCCGAACAUAACCAAGACGAGGCAGUGAAUGUUCCCCUUGAAGAUGAACCUCCGGUUCGUUCCCCAGGCGAAAAUUCAGAGACCGAUCUUCCGAGACUCGAGAGCUUUAAGCCCCUGCAACUGCUAGGGAGUGGAGGUG